This 405-nucleotide ribosomal RNA is filed under the name uncultured bacterium. RNAcentral's name for it is "partial 16S ribosomal RNA". It matches the Rfam family "Bacterial small subunit ribosomal RNA", at positions 28 to 526 of the family's 1533-position model. The record is from RNAcentral.
GACGAACGCUGGCGGCGUGCUUAACACAUGCAAGUCGAGCGGAGCGGCGAACGGGUGAGCAACGCGUGAGUAACUGGCCCCCUCCCUGGGAUAACAGUUGGAAACGGCUGCUAAUACCGGAUAGUGGGGGAUGACUCGCGUCCUAUCAGCUUGUUGGUGGGGUAGUGGCCUACCACGGCGACGACGGGUACCCGGCCUGAGAGGGCGGCCGGCCACAUUGGGCUGAGAGACGGCCCAAACUGCUACGGGGGGCAGCGGUGGGAAAUAUUGCGCAGUGGGGGAGACUCUGAUGCAGCGACGCCGGGUGCGGGAUGAAGGCCUACGGGUUGUAAACCUCUUUCAGCCAUGACGCGGUAGUGGCAGAAGAAGCACCGGCUAACUACGUGCCAGCAGCCGCGGUAAUAC